RNA transcript from Triticum aestivum (bread wheat), 4034 nucleotides. It is a transcript of the gene named disease resistance protein Pik-2, with no coding region annotated. NCBI's taxonomy places the organism in Eukaryota, Viridiplantae, Streptophyta, Magnoliopsida, Poales, Poaceae. The record is from RefSeq and is a predicted model, not a curated record. The transcript has 5 exons.
GGUGCUAUCGGCUACCACCAUAUGUAUAGGUAAUUCAUAAGACGAGGUGAAGGUUUCUCCCAGCCAGUGCUCACUGCCGUACCACAGCAGCGGUGUGCAGUAGAAUCACAUUCCACAAGAAAAGUUAGCGAGAAGGUCAGAUCCAUCCAUCUGCAUGGCAAUAGUCAGUGGGACGAUGGAUGUCCUCCUCCCUAAGCUGGCCGAGUUGCUUACCGAUGAGUUCAAGCUACACAAGGGGCUCAAGGAGGAGAUUGCAUCCCUUAGCCGCGAGCUGGAGAGCAUGCAGGCGGCGCUGGUGAAGAUAUCGGAGGUGCCGGUCGGGCAGCUCGACGGGCAGGUCAAGGUGUGGUCGAGGGAGGUGAGGGAGAUGUCCUACGACAUCGAGGACAGCAUCGACACCUUCACGGUCCGUUUUGGGGCUGCCCAAGAGCCCCCCGAGCCGCUUGGCUUGAUCAAGGGGUUCAUGGACAGGGUGAGGAGCCUGUGGGCAACCGCGUUGACUCGCCGCCAGAUCGCCGGAGAGAUCCAGCGCAUCAAAGGCGAAGUGGAGGAGGUUAGCCAACGGCGCAAGAGAUACAAGCUCGACGAUGAUCUUGUCAGGCCAUCUGCCGCGACAACCAUCGAUCCUCGUCUGCCGGCCCUGUACGAGGAUGCGUCCAGGCUUGUUGGCAUGGAAAGGCCAACAGGAGAUCUAGUCAAGUGGUUGAAGGAGGGGGAGGGCGCAUCAAAGCGGCAGCUCAAGGUGCUGUCCAUCGUCGGAGUCGGCGGCCUGGGCAAGACGACCCUAGCCAACACGGUGUUCCACAUGCUAGAAGGGCAGUUCCAGUGCCGGGCUUUUGUCUCGGUGUCCCUUACACCGGACGUAAAGAAGAUAUUUCGCAGCAUAAUUCGCCAGGUAAGUGGAGAAGAUUGCACCAACGGUGAAGAUUGGGAUGUUAAGGAACUUGUGGAUCAUAUCCGAAAUUUUCUCAAGGACAAGAGGUACUUAAUUAUAAUUGAUGAUAUAUGGGACCAAAAUGUGUGGACGAUUCUGAAAGUUGCUUUGAUCAAGAGCAAUUGUGGUAGUAGAAUAAUUACCACUACUCGGAAAGUUGGUGUUGCUGAAUCUUGUUGCUCUGAUUUCAAUGGUAGAGUGUAUCACCUAGCACCUCUCUCCCAUGGGGACUCAAAAAAAUUAUUCUACAAGAGAAUAUUUAAUUGUGAAGAUGAUUACCCCAAUGAGUUGAAAGAAGUAUCUGAGAAAAUACUGAAAAAAUGUGAUGGCUUACCAUUGGCUAUCAUAACUAUAGCUAGUUUAUUGGCUAGUAAACCGACAAAAACAAAUGAGCUAUGGUACAAUGUGCUCAACUCCAUUGGUUCUGGACAUGAAAAUGGUCCUAGUGUGGAGAACAUGAGAGGGAUAUUAUCUCUUAGCUAUCGUGACCUACCUCCUCACUUGAAAACUUGCUUGUUGUACCUAAGCAUAUUUCCGGAGGAUCAUAUGAUUAAUAGAGAUAAACUGAUAUGGGGAUGGGUUGCAGAAGAUUUUAUUCAUGAUAAGCAAAGGGGGAACUUAUAUAAACAAGGAGAAAAUUACUUCAAUGAGUUGAUUAAUCGGAAUAUGCUUCAGCCUGUUGAUAUUGACACUCAUGGUAGUGCAAAAACAUGUCGUGUACAUGAUAUGGUACUUGAUCUCAUCACUUCGUUAUCGGCCGAGGAAAAUUUUGUUAGUAUACUAGGAGGUCAGCAGCCAUUGUCUACAGGGAACAAGAUCCGCCGAUUAUCAAUCCAAGAGAACAAUGGAGAGCACAAUAUGCUUGAUAAAUCCAUGGACUUAUCCCAUGUAAGGCUACUUUUUGUCUUCAGGUCUGCUAUUGACAUGAUUCCAUCACUUUUGAGCUUCCAGGUUCUACGUGUGCUGGAUCUCGAAGAAUGCCAACAUUUGGAUAGUUGUUAUUUGAAGGAUAUCACAAAUUUGCUGCAUUUGAGGUAUCUAGGACUAGGACGCACAUAUAUUACUGAGCUUCCAAAAGAAAUUGGGAAUUUACAGUACUUGCAGACACUGGACCUGAGGGAAACAAAAAUACAUGAGUUGCCAUCAACAGUUGUUCAGUUGAGACAACUGGUACGCUUAUAUGUUUCCAUAGGCACUAGAGUGCCCGUGGGAAUAGGAAAUAUGGAAUCACUAGAAGAGUUGUCAAAAAUUAACAUCUCUGAGUCUCCAAACUUUGUGAAAGAGUUAGGCACUCUGACUGAACUAAGAGUGCUUGAAAUUUGGGCCAAUGGAUGGGACAGCAGCUACGAGAAACCUUUUCUGGAAUCUCUAAGCAGCCUCCACAAAAUCCAAAUUCUCUCUGUUUUUGCUGCUGACGUGUCGCUGGAUUUCACGUCAGAAGGUUGGGUCCCUAAAUGUUUACAAACCUUCUGGGCUUGGGAUAGCCCAUUCUCUAUUCUGCCUAGGUGGAUUAACUGCUCUCUCCAGAACUUGUCCAUCAGACUCAACAAAAUACAACAGGAGCAUGUUCAAAUCCUUGGGGGUUUGCCUGCACUUCAUUUUCUUGAACUGCUAGUGAUAGAUCACCCAGAAGUAAAACUGAUCAUUGGUCGUGACAAUACAUUCCAGUGUUUAAGUGAAUUCGCAUUUGAAUGUAGAGCAGCCGGGCUGGUAUUUGCACAAGAAGCUCUGCAGGGACUUCAAAGGCUCAGGUUUGAUUUUGGAGUGCGGGAAACAAAAGAUCUGUAUGGUGAUUUUGAAUUUGGAUUGGAGAAUCUGUCUUCAGUUAAGCGUGUCCGCAUUGAUAUUGAUUGUGAUGGUGCCUGGGUUUCGGAGGUGGAAGCUCUGGAGAUUCUGAUCAAGAAGACAACCAAUGUGUAUGCCCCUAUUCUAAAUAUAAGCAGGCGUCUUGAAGAAGACAUGCUAAAACAUGAAGACAUUGGACUGGCAAACAAAAAGGAAGAGAAUUGGCCUGCCAAGAAUGGGCCUUGGGGUGGAAAUGGUGGUAGGGCUCGCGACAUCAAGGUGGCACCGCAAAGCCUGGAAAGUGUGACGAUUCGCAGUGGUUCAGUUGUUGAUUCACUCGCUUUCUCUUUCAAGGACGGAAAUGGCCGGCACCACACUGCAGGCCCGUGGGGCAGUGAUGGUGGGAGCGGCAAGACGAUUAAGCUUGGUCCUACAGAGUUUGUGACUGAAGUUUCGGGAACAUUCGGUUCAUUUGGUGCGUUGUCCAAUGUUUUGACAUCGCUCACUUUGGUCACUAACUGCGGCAGCUAUGGGCCUUUUGGAAAAAGACAAGGAAGUCCUUUCAAAACUACGAUGCAGAGUAAUAGCAGCAUUGUCGGCUUCUUUGGUAGGGCUGGCCAAUUUGUUGAUGCAAUUGGUGUUUAUGUGCUUCCAUUCCCAGUCUAGCUUCGGCUGGGUGCCUUCCGAAAGAUUUCAAAGAGGCCUGGAGCUAAUCUUUCCAUUACCAUAGCAAAUAGCCAAGUGGUUCGUGCACAUGCUCAGGCAAGAUUUUUAAAUGUGAGACUGCUUCAGCCUAUCAACUUCUGGGCCUACUGAGGCAACAAUCAUGUGACAUAUGUGGUAAGCAACUCAAGUUAAUUCAAAAAAAAAAAAAAACAAUCAUGUGUACGUAUAUAAGUCUAAUAUAGUUCACAUUGUCCUGUUUCCUUUUAUACCAAAAAACUGAUAAUAUUUGUUUUGUUUUGUACUUUGGGUCCACGAGUGGUGCCGUGGGACCAUUCUUGCCCGUCAUGAAGUUGAGCAGAAAUGAAGUUGAAGGGAAAUUGCCCCCGCAAAAAAAAGGGAAAUUUGUCAACCAGUCGGCAUCCGUGUGUAUAUCUUUCCCUUUUUGAGGGAAAACAUUGCAGGUUCAUUCAAACAUUCAUGUUACGUUCCCAAGACAUCACCGACCUAACGGAAAGUGUUGGCACCUGAAGCCAUGUCUUGCAAAUUUUAUUCUUGCAACCUUCCGUGACUAGUAUUUUCUUUACCCCGAAACAGUAGAACAAUUGUUCUAAGAUAUUUUAUAUUUAUAAUGUACAAAGUAUUUAUACUA